This 302-nucleotide ribosomal RNA is filed under the name uncultured bacterium. RNAcentral describes it as "partial 16S ribosomal RNA". It matches the Rfam family "Bacterial small subunit ribosomal RNA", at positions 508 to 807 of the family's 1533-position model. The record is from RNAcentral.
GCAGCCGCCACGGUAAUACAGAGGGUGCGAGCGUUAAUCGGAUUUACUGGGCGUAAAGCGUGCGUAGGCGGCUUUUUAAGUCGGAUGUGAAAUCCCUGAGCUUAACUUAGGAAUUGCAUUCGAUACUGGGAAGCUAGAGUAUGGGAGAGGAUGGUAGAAUUCCAGGUGUAGCGGUGAAAUGCGUAGAGAUCUGGAGGAAUACCGAUGGCGAAGGCAGCCAUCUGGCCUAAUACUGACGCUGAGGUACGAAAGCAUGGGGAGCAAACAGGAUUAGAUACCCCAGUAGUCCCUGUCUCUUAUAC